Triticum aestivum (bread wheat) is the source of this 125-nucleotide non-coding RNA. The record is from Rfam. Lineage: Eukaryota; Viridiplantae; Streptophyta; Magnoliopsida; Poales; Poaceae.
AUACUACUCCCUCCGUCCCAAAAUACUUGUCGGAGCAAUGGAUAAAAUUGGAUGUAUCUAUAACAAAAAUACAUCUAAAUUCAUCCAUUUUUCCGACGAGUAUUUCCGGACGGAGGGAGUACUCG